Molecule: long non-coding RNA, 796 nt
Organism: Oryza brachyantha (malo sina)
Lineage: Eukaryota; Viridiplantae; Streptophyta; Magnoliopsida; Poales; Poaceae
Exons: 3
Source: RefSeq, a predicted model, not a curated record
UUCAGUUCGACUCGAUAAGGAACCGAACCGAGCUAGAGCUUAUCAUAAAGCUCGCGAGCUCUAGCGAGUCAAGCUUAAGCUCAAAAUUUUCACUUCGCACAUUCCAAUUUCUUCCGCGCUCUAGUUCUAAAUUCUCACUGCUAGCAAUCAAAUAGUCAAUGGCCCAACGAACACAAACAAUUAUUCCCCACCUGUCCCAAUACAACAGCCCGUAUAUACCCAAACCCUAGUUUAUUUGCUCUCUUUCUCAAAACACUGCUCUCUUCGAUUUGUCUCAGAUUGCUCCGGCGUUUGCUACUAUGGAUCUAGCCAAGGGUCCGGCCAUCAUUCGCCUCUCCUGUGACUCCUGUCCUGGAAGUGCCUCAUUGGAGACAGCAUGAGCCCACCGCCUCCACCGUAAAUGACGACCCAGAUCUGAGUGUCUAGUUGGAGUGGUACUGCUGCUUAUCUUGUUGUUCUCUUGUUCUACUUAUCUUGUUGUUCUCUUGUUCUCAAAGUCUGAAAGUUGUAGAACAUUACAUGCUUGCCAUUUGCCAAGGUAAAUUGAUGAUGUCUGAAAAUCGAUCUAUAGAGAUUGAGUCACCGAACCAUCCAAAAAGUUAUUACGGGAAGAUAUCCAAAUUGCUGAAAGAACUACCUUAACGAGCUCUCGGAGCUUAUACGAACCGAGCUCGAGUUGAGCCGAGCCUUGAUCGAGCUCGACCGAGCCUAUCUUUAAGCUUGAAUGUUAUGCUAGGCUCGAGCUCGAGCUUAGGUAGGUAAGCUCGCUCGAGCUCGGCUGCCCUACUCCAGAGUC